Molecule: long non-coding RNA, 431 nt
Filed under: Struthio camelus australis
Lineage: Eukaryota; Metazoa; Chordata; Aves; Struthioniformes; Struthionidae
Description: lncRNA (ENSSCUG00000017264.1)
Source: RNAcentral
CAUAGUAGCUGCCAACAUGAAUGAUAAGUUCUAUCAAGGAAAACAGAGAAUUGCUUAUGCUCAGUUUUUGGGGUGGAAAUGGUCCCUCCCUCAGAGAAAGAAUAUUUUCAAAACAGUGUAUGAGAAGCAGUCUAUUUUCCCAUCAUUUUAAUUUGAAUACUUUCUGUAACUGCUUUAUAUUUAAUGCCAUUUGUUUUUUUCUCUUGCCUCUGAGCACUAUUGAGACUAAUGGAUUCUUCUGUUUCCUUUUUUCAGAGAGAUACCAGUGGUUAAAGAGUUGGUUAAUAAACCUGGUCUUCGUUCUUGCUGAGACUUACAGAGAUGAUGGUGGCAUUGUUUGGUCAAAACAAAAAUUCCAGGAAAGUAUGGAAAGAAGAAAUACUGUGUAAAUUCUUGCACACCGUGCUUUCCACUGUACAAGUGCCUAACAG